Molecule: non-coding RNA, 188 nt
Organism: Glycine soja
Lineage: Eukaryota; Viridiplantae; Streptophyta; Magnoliopsida; Fabales; Fabaceae
Source: Rfam
AAACUCAAGUUGGAGCUCUCUGCACUCCAGUGUUGAAGGAGGUGAUGGUAAACCCUAGCUGCUAAUUCAUGGUUACCUUUGGCUUCCCAUAAGGAAGCAUGUGAAAGUCAUGGGUUUACAUGAAUAUGGAGACGGGGUUGCCUUGAUCUUUUGGUAUUGGAGUGAAGGGAGCUCCGAAUUAGGCCUUC